Mauremys reevesii (Reeves's turtle) is the source of this 508-nucleotide long non-coding RNA. RefSeq lists it as uncharacterized. Lineage: Eukaryota; Metazoa; Chordata; Testudines; Geoemydidae. The transcript is spliced from 3 exons. The record is from RefSeq and is a predicted model, not a curated record.
AUGCUAUUCUGAGCAAGAUCAAGGUGUCGGGAGUCCCAACUGGUAUUAACAACGCACAUUAAGAAAGCUGAAUUCCUACCUCAAACUGACAGGAUGCCACUGUGAGGAAAGUAACCGUGGAGUCCUGCAUAGCACUGAGCAGAGACUGCUCUGAGGAAUCACUUAAAAUCAGCGCUUGAAUAAUUCACCAGCAGUUUACAGCACACCCCGGCUGGUCUCGGUAACCGAUUCUUCACAGCUUCCCUCUGACAAAACAAGAAAGAACAAAGCGUCUCCGUGAGAGAGCACAGUGUGGAGCAGCUCUUCUGACAGUCUGCACUGAGCUCUGAGAACAAAAAUGGCUGGUGGAUUCCACGCAGAGAGGGCAACUGCUUUGAAAACUGAAGGGACACAGAAAAGAAAAGGCAUCAGCCUUUCUUAGCUGCAUAGUCACCUUCGCAGAAAUAAGGAACAGGCAAUAAAGGGUCACAUUCGUCAGAUAAUUUAUUCACAACAAAUAUUUCAACCA